GACGAACGCUGGCGGCGUGCCUAAUACAUGCAAGUCGAACGCACAGUUUAUACCGUAGCUUGCUACACCAUAGACUGUGAGUUGCGAACGGGUGAGUAACGCGUAGCUAACCUGCCUGGUAGCGGGGGAUAACUAUUGGAAACGAUAGCUAAUACCGCAUAAUAUUGAUUAUUGCAUGAUAAUUGAUUGAAAGAUGCUAUUGCAUCACUACCAGCUGGACCUGCGUUGUAUUAGCUAGUAGGAGAGGUAACGGCUCACCUAGGCGACGGUACAUAGCCGACCGGGGGGGGUGGUCGGCCCAACUGGGAAUGGGACCCGGCCCAGGGUCCCUAGGGGAGGAACCAGAGGGGAACUUCCGGAAUGGAGGGAAGGCUUGCCGGACAACGCCGCGGGAGUGAAGGAGGUUUUCGGGUCGUUAAGCUCUGUUGUAAGGGGAGAACGGGUGUGGGAGUGGAAAGUUCACGCUGUGACGGUAGCUUACCAGAAAGCGACGGCUAACUACGUG
Molecule: ribosomal RNA, 505 nt
Filed under: uncultured bacterium
Lineage: Bacteria
Description: partial 16S ribosomal RNA
Rfam family: Bacterial small subunit ribosomal RNA
Source: RNAcentral